GGGACCUUGAGUGGGCUUCUUUCUGGACCAUACCCCCAAGAGUCUCUUUUAACCUCCUCUUCUCUGUGGAAAUGCUAUAAGGUCAAUGUCACAGGAACUUGGGGGAUGCUUGGUAAUUCCUAUUCUCUUAUAAGUCUAUAUUUCCUCCUCACCUAAUCUCCAUAUCCUUCUCUACAGGAGGGACAAUUUGUGCUUCAUGGGGAUUUCAUUUGUAAUUGAUUACAUAAUCAGUUCCAUGAAUAUUUUUGGCUUUGAUUAAAAAACUCUUCUGGGGAGAAAGCCUACUAUGAUGAAGUUGUCUUAGAUAUGGAAAGGUUUGUGCCAUGUUUCGGGCUCCUUAUCUCUGAGUGGAGGGCCAUAGUCACUAAGGAAGAAGUGAUUUACUUUAUGAGAGCUGGACUGUGGUCAGUUGAGGAGAAUAUCCCACCAACUGCCUCACUGACCAGAAUGUAGUAGAGGUACUGUUUGUGACAUCACCAGCUGGGAGACUCCCUCAAAAACAUGGGAUCCCUGCUCUCUCCACCUUCACUCAACUUGCCUCACAAAAAGAGGAAAAGAAGAGAGUGCUCCACUCAGGAGGCAGAGAGGUGUAAGAGAUGAAAGACGCGUUCUAGGGUGUGCUAGUAUCCAUCCGAUAUUGUCUCAAACCCUGGGAAUGAUACUUAACACACUUAACUAAAACGAAUUCUCUUCAAUAUUAGGGAUAUUGCUGGAAUUAUUUUGCUGGUAUUAUAUUAAUCACCUAAACUGUUUUAGCUGAAGAGACUGAGGCCAAGAAUAACUGGAUGACUCCCCCAUUCCAAAACAUUUUGGCCGUUAAGUAGAAGAACCAAGAUUUGAACUCACAUCUUGUGAUUCCAAGCAUGUAAUGCUGUAACUCAAAGCUCGUUUGUAUAAGACUCUCCUCAUGGUGGAGGUUGAUUGGGACUCAGCAUCCAGUUGCAGAAUACUCUCCUCACUGUUGAAGGCUGGCUGCUUAAUGUUCCUCCUCUAAGGAGUGGAAGACGAGAAGGGUGGAGUUGGCAAGAUCUUAGGAGAAAAGCAAACAUCUGGGACUUCUGGCUUCCAGCUUCUAGAGAGAAGAAGACACAAAAAUUCAGAUAUUCUUUGGGGCUCUGUCCUUGUCAGCAGAGAAGGAGUCUGGGAAGAAACUGACAUAAAGAAACAGUCGGCCUCCCAUGCUCUUGCCUGUUGGGAUCUAAACCUCAGAAAGCCUGUACCACAAGAUAAAGAUGACAUCAUCACAACUUCUCUGGGAAAAAUAGAAACUGAGAGAUGGCGAGCACUUGAAAUUUCCAGUUGUAAGGAGAGUUGAGAUUGUCUUUACCUCCUCGAUUCUGUCAAAGGCUACUUUUAUGCCUUCUGAGGCCAUGUUGGCAGCAGCAGAACUUAUUAGACUCAUCAACAGAGCAGGUGGUGCUCGAGUGGUGAAAUAGGAUGGCUUUUGGAAUAUUAUCCUCAGUCCCACACCUGAUAUCCUCUAUUGACUUCACCAAUAUCGCCUGAAAUUGGAGCUGCAUUCUUUGUGCUUAGGAAUUAUUCUCAAUUUAAAAGGCAAACAUAUAACAUAUUAAACUCUUUGUAAUUUCAUUCAUUCAUUCAUCCAGCAAACAUUUCUCGAAUUUGGUCCUGGAGACACAAAGACAAAGGUGGAAGUCCCUGUACUCAAGAAGCAUAUACAGUCUACCAGAAUGGAUAGCUCUACAGAUUUUAACAUGGUGGCAGGUAGAGAGAGGCUGCUGAAAUCAAAGGAAUAGAUUAUGUAGUAUGGAUGGUAGGAAAGAGAGCCUCCUUGAAGGAGGAGGUGGUACUAUCCAAAAAUAAAACAUACCCCAAUUCUCA
This 1842-nucleotide long non-coding RNA is filed under the name Monodelphis domestica (gray short-tailed opossum). RNAcentral's name for it is "lncRNA (ENSMODG00000036124.2)". The record is from RNAcentral. Lineage: Eukaryota; Metazoa; Chordata; Mammalia; Didelphimorphia; Didelphidae.